AACGAACGCUGGCGGCAGGCCUAACACAUGCAAGUCGAGCGAGGACUUCGGUCCUAGCGGCGGACGGGUGAGUAACGCGUGGGAACGUGCCCUUUGCUUCGGAAUAGCCCUGGGAAACUGGGAGUAAUACCGGAUGAGCCCUUUGGGGGAAAGAUUGAUCGGCGAAGGAUCGGCCCGCGUUGGAUUAGGUAGUUGGUGGGGUAAUGGCCUACCAAGCCGACGAUCCAUAGCUGGUUUGAGAGGAUGAUCAGCCACACUGGGACUGAGACACGGCCCAGACUCCUACGGGAGGCAGCAGUGGGGAAUCUUAGACAAUGGGGGAAACCCUGAUCUAGCCAUGCCGCGUGAGCGAUGAAGGCCUUAGGGUUGUAAAGCUCUUUCAGCUGGGAAGAUAAUGACGGUACCAGCAGAAGAAGCCCCGGCUAACUCCGUG
RNAcentral lists this ribosomal RNA (433 nucleotides) under uncultured bacterium. RNAcentral's name for it is "partial 16S ribosomal RNA". It matches the Rfam family "Bacterial small subunit ribosomal RNA", at positions 29 to 507 of the family's 1533-position model. The record is from RNAcentral.